UUUUGUUAUGAUUUGUGUGUAAGGCUAAGCACAGUGUUUUAACCAGUGGUUAGUGGAAUUGUUACAUAAACACCCUUUUAAAAGUGUAGUUCGCUGCUUAGUUUGGAUCAAGAGUCAAGUUUGAGAUCUCACUUUGAGCAGUACAAGUACUCUGCAAUUAUGGCUGAUAAAGGUAAAUAUGAGGAUAGUGGUAACUGCAGCAAGUCAGGAUGAAGGCCAGGAGCCACCGUCCAUCCACCCUUACCAGUAAACAGGCAAUUCUGCUCUUCUCAUUUGAGAGCUUGCUGAAGAUUCAUGGGAAAAAAGAAAUGCAAUCUUACACAUGUGCUUCAUUCAAAUGUAGUGGAUAGUACCGGGGAACCAGUUUAUCUAUGGACGUAACCGGCUGACUGCUACAGCAGGUUAUGAGAGACUUCAUCAUGUGUUGUGUGAAGAAUGGCAGAGAAAGCUGGAAUCAUGGAAAAGAUAGCUAGGUUAUACCACUGACAACUUAGGAAGGAGAACUAUAAAAAUGACAAAAUAUUUCCUUACAGACAGAAAGAAUUUUGUGAAAAUAUUCAACUAAGUGUAAAUUAACAGCUAAUUGUUCAAUCAAGUUUUGGUACG
This is a long non-coding RNA of Saccostrea cuccullata (small rock oyster), 606 nucleotides long. RefSeq lists it as uncharacterized. The transcript has 3 exons. Lineage: Eukaryota; Metazoa; Mollusca; Bivalvia; Ostreida; Ostreidae. The record is from RefSeq and is a predicted model, not a curated record.